Molecule: long non-coding RNA, 207 nt
Filed under: Elaeis guineensis (African oil palm)
Lineage: Eukaryota; Viridiplantae; Streptophyta; Magnoliopsida; Arecales; Arecaceae
Description: long non-coding RNA (EGUI_LNC068881)
Source: RNAcentral
GGGCGUGAGGUCUAGGGUGGGUUCUAGGGUUUCUGAUUGCUCUAGUUUUAUGUGAGAAAAUCAUAAGAGAGUCUUGUUUUCUUUCUUCCACACCACCUCCUCCUCAAUAAGCUCUAUCUUCUGAUCUAAAGGUGUCUAGAUGAUCCAAAGAAAGGAGUCUUCAUCAACCAUUUAGAGCCUUUUACAUGAGCUAGCACUCCUAGGAAG